This is a non-coding RNA of Ailuropoda melanoleuca (giant panda), 131 nucleotides long. The record is from Rfam. Lineage: Eukaryota; Metazoa; Chordata; Mammalia; Carnivora; Ursidae.
CAGCAUGUUUCCAAGGGCUAUGGCCGGUUGUGGCCAUGGGUUCUCCAACUGCAUGCGAGAGCAACCUGGAGAGACUUUGACAGCACAGGUCAGCAUCAUACCUGCAGCUGCCACUCGACUUUCCUAUAACA